UCCUAUCAGCCUAUCUUCAGUUUAUAAGAAAAUGUUAAGAAUAAGAGGAAAAGCAUGACCAUAUUAUCCACACAGAAUCCACAAACUAGAUAUAUGAUUUGAACCACAUGCUUAGCCUUGAGGGAAGCAUGAACUGUGUUCAGAAAUAGAACACUUUUAGCAAAAGAGCAGAUUUUCUAAUAUGCGCUAGCCAUAGGAAUCGAACCUAGAUUUUUGUACGCGACUACCCUGUUCCGUCGAACCAGGGGGGAGACGUUGAACGAUGGCCUCGUCGACUCCGAAGAGGCAGCAAUGUCGAACCCACGCGCAAGGCCGGUCCUGACAAAAAUGGGGCUCUGGGCGAAACAAAAAAAAUGGACCCUCAAUAUAUUAUUGUGUGCAAUAUAUUAAAAAAUAAAAAUAUUUCAUUACUUAUAAAAAUGACUUCGUCUAGCGUUUUUGAUUGCAAAUUCAUCCACAACAUCGUCUAAAUCUAUAUUAUCUAAAAUCUCUUUUUCUAUACAUAAUAGUCUAAAUCUAUAUUAUCUAAAAUCUCUUUUUCUAUACAUAAUAUUGCCAAGCCAUGUGACUAUAAUCUAAUAUUUGCCGAAGCCGAAGAUAUUGAAAAUCAACAUUAAACGGAACGAAACAAACAAGCUUACUAGAAUCCAGAAGACAAUGAUGGCACAUCAACAAUUUUUCCCACAAAUCCAAACGAAGACAAUCUGUAAAUUGCAGUGUGAAUUUUUUUGCUCAAGAAGGACAAUAAUCAAAGAGUAAAUUGGUGAGAAGAAUUAAUUCGCCUCAUUCUAUUUAUACAACUACAUAUGUGACUGAUUCAACAGUAAAAAUUGAGAAAUUGAAGAGAUUAAUAUCUUCCCCAUGAAAUUGGUGUUUGCAACGGCUUGAAGAAGAAGACGAAGCAUGUUUUUUUUUUCCUAGAAAUACGUCUGGC
Molecule: long non-coding RNA, 934 nt
Filed under: Salvia miltiorrhiza (redroot sage)
Lineage: Eukaryota; Viridiplantae; Streptophyta; Magnoliopsida; Lamiales; Lamiaceae
Description: long non-coding RNA (SMIL_LNC006305)
Source: RNAcentral